CCUAUCACCUGGGCAGUACCGCCCUCUCCUAAGGGUCCAGCUGAGGCCCUGGGGCUGAUGCCCACUGGCUCUGGUUGGACUGAACCAAUCCCUGGGGACGGAUGGACCCAAGCCUCAUGAACUGGAAGGGGCUGGGGUGAGUGCCAGUAAAAGGGGCUGCUGGACGAGGAGGGUGAAGCUUUCCUGAAAUGAUAAAAACUGUCAUCCACUGUGGGCACAGGUCCAAAGGCGCAUCCACCUUUCUAUCCCAGAAGUACCCAAUACCUCUCAUACAACUCUCUGCAAUGCUUACGAAAGGAAAUGGGAAGAGUCUCAAACUUACAGAAAAGCUGGAAAGAUAAUACAAAUACUAUCCAUCGCCCUUCACUUAGGUUCCUUCAUUUGCCUCAUCUGUUUCCCUCUCUCCCUCUCUUCCCUCCUCACUUCUGAACAACUUCAAUUGCAGACCUUGCAGUACUUCCUCUGUAUCAAAGAAGAAAAACAGUGUUCUAUACAACACCAACAUCUUUACACAUCCAAGAAAUGUAACACUGUGCAACAGUACAGCCUUAUAUACAGUCAUUCUGAUGGAAGAUCAGCGAAGGAGGAGCGAGGUGGACCCCACCAAUACUCUCACACUGUACGGACAGCGUGGACAGCGUGGCCCAAGGGGGGACAGCGAGGUCUCUCCUAGGUGUGGCCCCUCUGAAGGCACUGCUGGAGUCACCACUGCAACGUCUGCUGGUGCCUGGCAAGUGGCUGUUCCUUCACCAUUGAAUGCUGACAACAGGACACACAGUAAAGGGGCCGGGGUGGAUGGCGCUCCAUGGCCAGCUUCCAGAGGCAGCAGGCACGAAAGACAAACCCCUCGGUGCUGGAGGAGAUGAGGAGCACCUUUCUGACUUCUGGGCCAUAAAGAAAAAUUCUGGGAAAAUUCUCCUUUUGUCCUUUGGUGCUGUACCCAAGAAUCCAGAGGUCCCAUGGCCUGACAAAUGGUGAUUUCCAAGGCUGCGGACUUGCUCUCCUUCACCACAGAAAGCUAGACUUACGGCCACACUAGUAAAAAUGGCCACUUCCAGAUCCAGCAGCCGUCCCUUAGCAUUCAACAAAGGGGAACCCCAAACAGUUAGUGCCUAAGGGAGUGUGUGAUCCGAGAGCACAGAGGGCCCUUAGACACCAUCUGACCGAACUCCCACACCGGCUGGAUAGCUGGGGACCGGUGCCCG
This 1205-nucleotide long non-coding RNA is filed under the name Fukomys damarensis (Damara mole-rat). RNAcentral describes it as "lncRNA (ENSFDAG00000029059.1)". Lineage: Eukaryota; Metazoa; Chordata; Mammalia; Rodentia; Bathyergidae. The record is from RNAcentral.